CUUUGUUACAGCUCUUUUAGAAUUUGUCUAGCAAGUGAAGACCAGAACCCCCCUCCC
Small nuclear RNA from Cercocebus atys (sooty mangabey), 57 nucleotides. Its record names the gene U7. It matches the Rfam family "U7 small nuclear RNA". From Rfam's summary of the family: Animal histone pre-mRNAs are spliced by a different mechanism than nuclear pre-mRNAs and self-splicing introns. The record is from Ensembl. NCBI's taxonomy places the organism in Eukaryota, Metazoa, Chordata, Mammalia, Primates, Cercopithecidae.